GUCUUUGCGCACGGGCAAUGUCUCCCAAGUGAGGUUUUACCGAUGGGCGACUAUUGCUAAUUGAAAACUACUCCAAUUCCAGCGCGUUCACCUCUCGUAGGUGACCGUGCAAUUUUUGAAACCUUUCUCCUUUUGAUAAUAAAC
This 144-nucleotide small nuclear RNA is filed under the name Galdieria sulphuraria. Its description in RNAcentral is "U4 spliceosomal RNA". It matches the Rfam family "U4 spliceosomal RNA". From Rfam's summary of the family: U4 small nuclear RNA (U4 snRNA) is a component of the major U2-dependent spliceosome. The structure of U4 snRNA from yeast and human has been reported. Lineage: Eukaryota; Rhodophyta; Bangiophyceae; Galdieriales; Galdieriaceae. The record is from Rfam by way of RNAcentral.